This 530-nucleotide ribosomal RNA is filed under the name uncultured fungus. RNAcentral describes it as "eukaryotic LSU rRNA". The stretch from base 160 to 313 matches the Rfam family "5.8S ribosomal RNA". The record is from RNAcentral. Lineage: Eukaryota; Fungi.
UACCGAGUUGCAAACUCCCAAACCCACGCGUACCUUACCUUAUGUCGUUGCUUCGGCGGCGCCGCCCCGGGGUGCUCCGGCACCCGGGGGUGCCCGCCGGAGGUUCCGAAAACUCUCUGUAUCACUGUGGACUCUCUGAGAAAAAAACACAAUAAUCAAAACUUUCAACAACGGAUCUCUUGGUUCUGGCAUCGAUGAAGAACGCGGCGAAAUGCGAUAAGUAAUGUGAAUUGCAGAAUUCAGUGAAUCAUCGAAUCUUUGAACGCACAUUGCGCCCGCCAGCAUUCUGGCGGGCAUGCCUGUCCGAGCGUCAUUUCAACCCUCAGGCCCUGCCUGGCGUUGGGGCACCGCGCAGCGCGCGCGGGCCCUGAAAUACAGUGGCGAGCCCGCCUGGACUCCGAGCGUAGUAGUGUAAAAGCCUCGCUCAGGGCGUCCCGGCGCGCGUCGGCCGUAAAACCCCCAACUUCCACAAGGUUGACCUCGGAUCAGGUAGGAAUACCCGCUGAACUUAAGCAUAUCAAUAAGCGGAG